Hydra vulgaris (swiftwater hydra) is the source of this 2600-nucleotide non-coding RNA. Lineage: Eukaryota; Metazoa; Cnidaria; Hydrozoa; Anthoathecata; Hydridae. The record is from RefSeq and is a predicted model, not a curated record.
AGUUUUACGCGUUAGCCUGCUGUGCGUUUUAGAAGUGAUGAACAGAAAUAUAAUUAAUAGAAAUUAAAAAUGAUAUUUGAUUGGAAUUUUUUGAUAAAUUCAGUGCUGUUAUUGGUCCUACUCUUAAAGAAUGUUUGUGGAGUUUUAGAAAAUAACUUUGAAUCACCAAAAGUAGCAUAUGAUGGAAUCAUAUUUGAAAAACUUGGGUGUUGGUUAGACAGUUCAAAUCGAACAUUAACUAAACUUGAAGGUGCCACUGUCCUUGAUGGACAUUAUUCAAGUCGUGUUGAUCCUUUUGGUAAAUGUUACAGAGCCGCAACAGAAAGUAAAUACAAGUACUUUGCUUUGCAAAAUGGUGGUCAAUGUUUUGCAGGAAACAGUACGGUUUACCAACUGUUAGGAAAAUCAACUAAUUGCCAACUGGAUGGAGAAGGAGGGCCAUGGUCAAAUGAAGUCUAUACAGUAAAUAGUGAUAUUCUUGAAGUGAACGAUGAGCUAGAAUAUAGAACUUUUUUGUAUAUUACUUUUCAAAUAUACUAUUGGAAUCUUGGUGAACCAGCUGUUAAUAUAUCUUGGGAAUACUUUUUUCCACCUUUCAUAAUACUUCUAUUUAAUUAUACAUCAGUAGACUUUGUUUAUAGUGGUCCAAACACAUUAAAGUUUAAGGUAACAAAUUUAUCUAACAUUGAAGUUCAUCAGAGUUUUACUGCUAUUAUUAAUAAUACUAUCUGUUUUUUUUGUGAAACGUCCAUUGAUAUUCCAAUGCAGUUAUAUUUUGAAAAUAAUACAGGAAUUUUUCAAUCUAAUCAAGUAUUAAGGAAAAAUUUAAAGAAAAACUGUAAGGGUCUACAAAAUCAGUCUCUAGACACUAUUGAUUGUAUUCAAACUUGCAUUUGGAAAAGCAGUACUUGCAUAAAUGAAGUGUGCUUCAUAUGUACAUGUGAGUCUGGAUGGAGAUUGGAUAAAGAUAAUUACACCUGUGUUGAUAUUGAUGAAUGCCUAAUCCAACCCUGCAAUUGGGCUAAUAGUGUUUGCACAAACACUAAUGGAAGCUAUAAUUGCACAUGUGAUUCUGGGUGGUUAUUGGAUAAAAAUAAUCAUACCUGUGUUGAUGUUGAUGAAUGCACAGGUUCAAACCAACCCUGCAAUUGGGCUAAUAGUGUUUGCACAAACACUAAUGGAAGCUAUAUUUGCACAUGUGAUUCUGGGUGGUUAUUGGAUAAAAAUAAUCAUACCUGUGUUGAUGUUGAUGAAUGCACAGGUUUAAACCAACCCUGCAAUUGGGCUAAUAGUGUUUGCACAAACACUAAUGGAGGCUAUAUUUGCACAUGUGAUUCUGGGUGGUUAUUGGAUAAAAAUAAUCAUACCUGUGUUGAUGUUGAUGAAUGCACAAGUUCAAACAAACCCUGCCAUUGGGCUAACAGCGUUUGCACAAACACUUAUGGAAGCUAUAUUUGCACAUGUGAGUCUGGUUGGUUAUUGGAUAAAAAAAAUCAUAGCUGUGUUGAUGUUGAUGAAUGCACAGGCCCAAAAAAACCUUGCGAUUGGGCUAACAGUGUUUGCACAAACACUAAUGGAAGCUACAUUUGCACAUGUGAGUCUGGAUGGUUAUUAAAUAAAAGUAAUGAAAGCUGUGUUGAUGUAGAUGAAUGCACAGCUUUAAACAAACCCUGCAAUUGGACUGACAGCGUUUGCAUAAACAAUAUCGGGAGCUACAUUUGCACAUGUGAGUCUGGAUGGGUAUUAAAUGAUGAUAGUUGUGUUGAUGAGUGCACAUCAUUAAAUAAUCCUUGUGAUUUGAAAAAGGCUGUUAGCAUUAAUAACGACGGAAAGUAUGAAUGUAUAGAAGGAGAAUGGAACAUAUGGAGUGAAUGUAGUCAAACGUGUGGACCUGGUUUCAAAUAUAGUUACUUAAGAACACUGUCACCUUCUAAACAAAAUGUGAAACGUGUCGAUGUGUGCAUGGAGUUUAAGUGUCCAGUGGAUUGGAAAUGGAGUUCAUGGGUAGAAUACAAAUCACUUUCUAAUUUGUAUGGUAAUUGCUUUACAAGGCGAGAAAGAUUUUGCACUAACUCUUUACCUAAAGACGCAGAAGGUGGAUAUGAUUGCUUUGGCCUCAGUCUGGAUUUUCAAAUUCUUGAAAGCACAGAAUGUCCAGUUCAUGGUGGGUGGAAUCAAUGGUCUUUUUGGUCAUCUUGCAGUCAACCUUGUCAAGGUGGUAAACAAACAAGACGCCGUAGUUGCAAUAAUCCAUUACCAAAGUAUGGCGGACUACAAUGUAAUGGAAAUGACAUCGAAUAUAAAACUUGCUAUUCAGAUAGAUGCAAAGAUAUGACAGUAAACCUCAACCUAUUUUUUAAUGAUAAAGAUUAUAUAGAAGCGUAUUCUGAUCCAACUAAUGAACCAUCUGAAAUCCUAAAAUACAGUAUUAAAAAUGCGAUGCAAAAUCUUUAUAACAAGUUCAAUAAAAAUGUUCAAUUUGAAUUGAUAUUGAAUUCUUUAAAAGACGAAGAGGAAAGUCAAUAAAAAUCUUAAAAGAUUGAAUUUAACGAUAAGGUUGAUAAAAUCCUAAUUUUUCAGUGUUAAGUGUCUUUUAAAAA